This 652-nucleotide ribosomal RNA is filed under the name Bacillus amyloliquefaciens. RNAcentral's name for it is "bacterial SSU rRNA". It matches the Rfam family "Bacterial small subunit ribosomal RNA", at positions 42 to 675 of the family's 1533-position model. Lineage: Bacteria; Bacillati; Bacillota; Bacilli; Caryophanales; Bacillaceae. The record is from RNAcentral.
GCUGCUUUGGCUCUCAUGCAGUCGAGCGGACAGAUGGGAGCUUGCUCCCUGAUGUUAGCGGCGGACGGGUGAGUAACACGUGGGUAACCUGCCUGUAAGACUGGGAUAACUCCGGGAAACCGGGGCUAAUACCGGAUGGUUGUUUGAACCGCAUGGUUCAGACAUAAAAGGUGGCUUCGGCUACCACUUACAGAUGGACCCGCGGCGCAUUAGCUAGUUGGUGAGGUAACGGCUCACCAAGGCGACGAUGCGUAGCCGACCUGAGAGGGUGAUCGGCCACACUGGGACUGAGACACGGCCCAGACUCCUACGGGAGGCAGCAGUAGGGAAUCUUCCGCAAUGGACGAAAGUCUGACGGAGCAACGCCGCGUGAGUGAUGAAGGUUUUCGGAUCGUAAAGCUCUGUUGUUAGGGAAGAACAAGUGCCGUUCAAAUAGGGCGGCACCUUGACGGUACCUAACCAGAAAGCCACGGCUAACUACGUGCCAGCAGCCGCGGUAAUACGUAGGUGGCAAGCGUUGUCCGGAAUUAUUGGGCGUAAAGGGCUCGCAGGCGGUUUCUUAAGUCUGAUGUGAAAGCCCCCGGCUCAACCGGGGAGGGUCAUUGGAAACUGGGGAACUUGAGUGCAGAAUAGGAUAGUGGAAUUCCACGUU